GAUGAAGAACGCAGCGAAAUGCGAUAAGUAAUGUGAAUUGCAGAAUUCAGUGAAUCAUCGAAUCUUUGAACGCACAUUGCGCCCCUUGGUAUUCCGAGGGGCAUGCCUGUUCGAGCGUCAUUAUCACCCCUCAAGCUUUGCUUGGUGUUGGGGCCUGCUGUAAUAGGCAGCCCUUAAAAUCAGUGGCGGUGCUUCAAGGCUCUAAGCGUAGUAAUUCUCCUCGCUAUAGUGUCUAGUGGUUGCCAGCGAGAACCCCCCAAUUUUCAUGAUUGACCUCGGAUCAGGUAGGGAUACCCGCUGAACUUAAGCAUAUCAAUAAGCGGAGGA
Molecule: unclassified non-coding RNA, 327 nt
Filed under: soil metagenome
Description: partial contains 5.8S ribosomal RNA, internal transcribed spacer 2, and large subunit ribosomal RNA
Rfam family: 5.8S ribosomal RNA (bases 1-120)
Source: RNAcentral